CGUCAAAUCAUCAUGCCCCUUAUGAUUUGGGCUACACACGUGCUACAAUGGCGCAAACAAAGGGAAGCGAAGCCGUGAGGCGGAGCAAAGCUCAAAAAAGGCGUCUCAGUUCGGAUUGUAGUCUGCAACUCGACUACAUGAAGCUGGAAUCGCUAGUAAUCGCGAAUCAGCAUGUCGCGGUGAAUACGUUCCCGGGUCUU
RNAcentral lists this ribosomal RNA (200 nucleotides) under uncultured prokaryote. Its description in RNAcentral is "partial 16S ribosomal RNA". It matches the Rfam family "Bacterial small subunit ribosomal RNA", at positions 1183 to 1382 of the family's 1533-position model. The record is from RNAcentral.